AGCGAUGGCUGCGUGCCUAAACAUGCAAGUCGAACGCGAAAGUUUCUUCGGAAAUGAGUAGAGUGGCGCACGGGUGAGUAACGCGUGGAUUAUCUACCUACUGGUACGGGACAACAGUUGGAAACGACUGCUAAUACCGUAUACGCUGGUAACGGGAAAGGGGGCCUCUUCUUGAAAGCUCUCGCCAGUAGAUGAGUCCGCGUUUCAUUAGCUAGACGGUGGGGUAACGGCCUACCGUGGCAACGAUGAAUAGCAGGCCUGAGAGGGUGGCCUGCCACACUGGGACUGGAACACGGCCCAGACUCCUACGGGAGGCAGCAGUGGGGAAUAUUGCGCAAUGGACGAAAGUCUGACGCAGCGACGCCGCGUGGAGGAUGAAGGUUUUCGGAUCGUAAACUCCUGUCAAGAGGGAAGAAACCUAUCAUGAAUAAUACUCAUGGUAAUUGACGGUACCUCUAGAGGAAGCACCGGCUAAUUCAGUGCCAGCAGCCGCGGUAAUACUGAAGGUGCAAGCGUUAAUCGGAAUCACUGGGCGUAAAGCGCUCGUAGGUGGCUUUGUAAGUCAGGUGUGAAAGCCCACGGCUCAACCGUGGAAUUGCACUUGAUACUGCAUCGCUAGAGUAUAGGAGAGGGAAGUGGAAUUUCUGGUGUAGGAGUGAAAUCCGUAGAGAUCAGAAGGAACACCCGUGGCGAAGGCGACUUCCUGGACUAUUACUGACACUGAGGAGCGAAAGCGUGGGGAGCAAACAGGAUUAGAUACCCUGGUAGUCCACGCCGUAACGAUGGGUACUAGGUGUUGGGGGCUUGACCCUCGGUGCCGUAGUUAACGCGUUAAGUACCCCGCCUGGGGAGUACGGUCGCAAGGCUGAACUCAAAUGAAUUGACGGAAGGGCGAA
This 896-nucleotide ribosomal RNA is filed under the name uncultured bacterium. RNAcentral describes it as "bacterial SSU rRNA". It matches the Rfam family "Bacterial small subunit ribosomal RNA", at positions 32 to 925 of the family's 1533-position model. The record is from RNAcentral.